GAACAAAUUAAUAAUGUUACUUGUAUAAUGGUGGGGAUAUGGCCCACAAGUAUCUACCAAGUUGCCGUAAAUGACUUGACUACAAGUGAUCUCCUUAGCAGG
Molecule: non-coding RNA, 102 nt
Filed under: Bacillus sp. (in: firmicutes)
Lineage: Bacteria; Bacillati; Bacillota; Bacilli; Caryophanales; Bacillaceae
Also listed under: 1 other name
Description: Bacillus sp. Guanine sequence
Rfam family: Purine riboswitch aptamer
About the family: Riboswitches are metabolite binding domains within certain messenger RNAs that serve as precision sensors for their corresponding targets. Allosteric rearrangement of mRNA structure is mediated by ligand binding, and this results in modulation of gene expression.
Source: RNAcentral